AACUUCUACCAAAACAUUGCACAGCAAAAGUCCUUCUUUCUUGACUAAACCAACAAUACUUUUGAGAAUAUGGGUUCCAAGGCCUCCACAAGCACCCUAGCUCUCUUUCUUGCCUUUAACCUUAUCUUUUUCACUCAGGUCAGUGCCACGAUCCUCCCUGCUUGCACAUCUGUCGUGGACUUGACUGUAUGCCUUGCUUUGCUGGGGGUCCCCAUCAUAGAUAUAGGUAGUCCAUGCUGCGGUUGCUUUAGUGACCUUGUUGACCUCGACGCAGCUGCUUGCCUUUGCGCCUACUUGAAAACUCGGAGCCUCCUCACCCUGGAUCUCACAGCUACCGUUACAACGAUUGUGAAUGGCUGUGGCAAGACCUAUCCAUCAGGGUACCAAUGUCUCUGAACAGAUUUGCUUGUUCACUGUUCGAAUGUGCUUUUCUUUUGUUUCUCAAUCAUGAAUUUACUUCUAAAGAACUCCUCGCCCUAAACAGUGGUUAGAAGUUACUUUGUCAUGGUGAUUUCUCAGAUUUCAUGUUUGUAAUUUCCAAUAAAGUUUUCAUGUGCAAGUGAGCAGUCAGCUCUAAGCUUGUAUCUUUCCGUGCGGUGAUCAAUGAAAAGUUAAUAAGUUUUUUUUAUGUUAUAUUCAUAACGCCAUUUUCUGACUCUGUAAGGGAACGUUACAUAUUUAUAAGCAUAAAAUUGAGGAUUAAUGCAUGG
RNAcentral lists this long non-coding RNA (710 nucleotides) under Coffea arabica (coffee). RNAcentral's name for it is "long non-coding RNA (CARA_LNC004793)". The record is from RNAcentral. Lineage: Eukaryota; Viridiplantae; Streptophyta; Magnoliopsida; Gentianales; Rubiaceae.